AGUGAGUGAGUAGUUCGCUGUAUCACUGAAGGGUGUGAGUAGUUCACACCAGCAAGCUUGCCUUGUGGGUUCCUUCAGUCAGGGGAAAGCUCACUUUUUU
The submitters of this non-coding RNA (100 nucleotides) gave its source as unclassified sequences. The record is from Rfam.